Molecule: long non-coding RNA, 553 nt
Filed under: Pan troglodytes (chimpanzee)
Lineage: Eukaryota; Metazoa; Chordata; Mammalia; Primates; Hominidae
Description: long non-coding RNA NONPTRT007434
Source: RNAcentral
UCAGGGAUGGUGCAGCCUGAAUGAGAAUGUCUGCAGUAUUUCCUGAAAUAAGUAUCCCUCAAGGAUGAUACUGUGGACCUCACUCAGGAAGAAUGUGUCCUUCAGAGAAAGCUGCGCAGAGACGUGGUGCUGGAGAAGCAGUCAUCUGGUUACUUUGGUACAUGACUUCAGGCUCCUAUGUGCAGAAGUCCUCAACCCCCAGGCUGCAGACCAGUACCUGUCCAUGGCCUGUUAGGAAACUGGCCGCACAGCAGGAGGUGAGUGGUUGGAGAGCGAGCAUUGCUGCCUGGGCUCUGCCUCCUUUCAGAUCAGCAGUGGCAUUAGAUUCUCAUAGAAGCAGCGAACCCUAUUGUGAACUGCACAUGUGAGGGAUCUAGGUUGCACACUCCUUAUGAGACUGUAAUGCCUGAUCAUCUGAGCUGGAACAGUUUUAUCCCGAAACCAUCUCCGCAACAACACCUGAUCCUGUCCAUGGAAAAAUUGUCUUCCCAUCCGUGGAACGGGUCCCAGGUGCCAAAAAGGUUGGGGACGACUGCCUAUUUGCACCGUAACC